Long non-coding RNA from Bufo bufo (common toad), 220 nucleotides. RefSeq lists it as uncharacterized. The record is from RefSeq and is a predicted model, not a curated record. NCBI's taxonomy places the organism in Eukaryota, Metazoa, Chordata, Amphibia, Anura, Bufonidae. The transcript has 3 exons.
CCCAUAGGCCACUCAAUUCUUUCGGCUUGCUGGUCCUUGAGCAGAACGAGAUCUCCAACUUGUAUGUUAGGGUACUGUCGUUGCCAUUUCCUGCGUCCUUGCAGAGUGGAAAGAUACUCCAUCUUCCAACGAUUCCAGAAGCGGUUGGCAAGGUUUUGUACUCGCUUCCAUUGAUCAUAGCACAGAUUUCCGUCUUUAAAGUUUCCAGGUGGAGCAGGAA